GCACAACGCGAAGAACCUUACCCACCUUUGACAUGUACGGAAUCCUUUAGAGAUAGAGGAGUGCUCGAAAGAGAGCCGUAACACAGGUGCUGCAUGGCUGUCGUCAGCUCGUGUCGUGAGAUGUUGGGUUAAGUCCCGCAACGAGCGCAACCCUUGCCAUUAGUUGCUACGAAAGGGCACUCUAAUGGGACUGCCGGUGACAAACCGGAGGAAGGUGGGGAUGACGUCAAGUCCUCAUGGCCCUUAUAGGUGGGGCUACACACGUCAUACAAUGGCUGGUACAGAGGGUUGCCAACCCGCGAGGGGGAGCCAAUCCCAUAAAGCCAGUCGUAGUCCGGAUCGCAGUCUGCAACUCGACUGCGUGAAGUCGGAAUCGCUAGUAAUCGUGAAUCAGAAUGUCACGGUGAAUACGUUCCCGGGUCUUGUACACACCG
Molecule: ribosomal RNA, 434 nt
Filed under: uncultured bacterium
Lineage: Bacteria
Description: bacterial SSU rRNA
Rfam family: Bacterial small subunit ribosomal RNA
Source: RNAcentral